UACGUAGGGUGCAAGCGUUAUCCGGAAUUAUUGGGCGUAAAGAGCUCGUAGGCGGUUCGGCAAGUCGGGUGUGAAAUUUCGAGGCUCAACCUCGAAACGCCACUCGAUACUGCUGUGACUGGAGUCCGGUAGAGGAGUGCGGAAUUCCUGGUGUAGCGGUGAAAUGCGCAGAUAUCAGGAGGAACACCAACGGCGAAGGCAGCACUCUGGGCCGGUACUGACGCUGAGGAGCGAAAGCGUGGGGAGCAAACAGG
Molecule: ribosomal RNA, 254 nt
Filed under: uncultured bacterium
Lineage: Bacteria
Description: partial 16S ribosomal RNA
Rfam family: Bacterial small subunit ribosomal RNA
Source: RNAcentral